Molecule: non-coding RNA, 27 nt
Filed under: Rattus norvegicus (Norway rat)
Lineage: Eukaryota; Metazoa; Chordata; Mammalia; Rodentia; Muridae
Source: RNAcentral
UCAACAAUGGUGUGACCUGGCUUCCUC